This 915-nucleotide ribosomal RNA is filed under the name Methanosaeta sp. enrichment culture clone AB17. RNAcentral describes it as "bacterial SSU rRNA". It matches the Rfam family "Archaeal small subunit ribosomal RNA", at positions 1 to 922 of the family's 1478-position model. The record is from RNAcentral. Lineage: Archaea; Methanobacteriati; Methanobacteriota; Methanomicrobia; Methanotrichales; Methanotrichaceae.
UUCCGGUUGAUCCUGCCGGAGGUUACUGCUAUCGAGGUUCGACUAAGCCAUGCGAGUCGAAUGUAGCAAUACAUGGCGAACUGCUCAGUAACACGUGGACAACCUGCCCUUAGGACGGGGAUAAACCCGGGAAACUGGGUAUAAUACCCGAUAGGUCUCGAUUGCUGGAAUGCAUCGAGAUUUAAAGCUCCGGCGCCUAAGGAUGGGUCUGCGGCCUAUCAGGUAGUAGUGGGUGUAGCGUACCUACUAGCCUACGACGGGUACGGGUUGUGAGAGCAAGAGCCCGGAGAUGGAUUCUGAGACACGAAUCCAGGCCCUACGGGGUGCAGCAGGCGCGAAAACUUUACAAUGCUGGCAACAGCGAUAAGGGAACCUCGAGUGCCAGGUUACAAAUCUGGCUGUCGAGAUGCCUAAAAARCAUUUCAUAGCAAGGGCCGGGCAAGACCGGUGCCAGCCGCCGCGGUAACACCGGCGGCUCGAGUGGUAACCGUUAUUAUUGGGUCUAAAGGGUCUGUAGCCGGCCGGAUAAGUCUCUUGAGAAAUCUGGCAGCUUAACUGUCAGGCUUUCAGGAGAUACUGUCUGGCUCGAGGCCGGGAGAGGUGAGAGGUACUUCAGGGGUAGGGGUGAAAUCUUGUAAUCCUUGAAGGACCACCAGUGGCGAAGGCGUCUCACCAGAACGGACCUGACGGCAAGGGACGAAAGCUAGGGGCACGAACCGGAUUAGAUACCCGGGUAGUCCUAGCCGUAAACGAUACUCGCUAGGUGUCGGCCACGGUGCGACCGUUGUCGGUGCCGUAGGGAAGCCGUGAAGCGAGCCACCUGGGAAGUACGGCCGCAGGGCUGAAACUUAAAGGAAUUGGCGGGGGAGCACCACAACGGGUGGAGCUUGCGGUUUAAUUGGAGUCAACGCCGGA